RNAcentral lists this ribosomal RNA (314 nucleotides) under uncultured fungus. RNAcentral describes it as "SSU rRNA". It matches the Rfam family "Eukaryotic small subunit ribosomal RNA", at positions 1344 to 1680 of the family's 1831-position model. The record is from RNAcentral. Lineage: Eukaryota; Fungi.
UAACCUGCUAAAUAGUUGCGUUCACUUUGGUGGACGAACAACUUCUUAGAGGGACUAUGAAUGUUUAAUUCAUGGAAGUUUGAGGCAAUAACAGGUCUGUGAUGCCCUUAGAUGUUCUGGGCCGCACGCGCGCUACACUGACGGAGGCAACAAGUAUUCACCUUGACCGGAAGGUCUGGGUAAUCUUAUGAAACUCCGUCGUGCUGGGGAUUGUCCCUUGCAAUUAUUGGACAUUAACGAGGAAUUCCUAGUAAGCGCAAGUCAUCAGCUUGCGUUGAUUACGUCCCUGCCCUUUGUACACACCGCCCGUCGCU